RNAcentral lists this ribosomal RNA (498 nucleotides) under uncultured bacterium. RNAcentral describes it as "partial 16S ribosomal RNA". It matches the Rfam family "Bacterial small subunit ribosomal RNA", at positions 28 to 523 of the family's 1533-position model. The record is from RNAcentral.
GAUGAACGCUAGCGGCAGGCCUAAUACAUGCAAGUCGGACGGGAUUGAGAAGCUUGCUUUUCAUGAGAGUGGCGCACGGGUGCGUAACACGUAUGUAACCUACCCAUAUCAGGGGGAUAGCCUCCCGAAAGAGAGAUUAAGACCGCAUAACAUUAUUGAAUGGCAUCAUUUAAUAAUCAAAUAUUUAUAGGAUAUGGAUGGGCAUGCGGAACAUUAGCUAGUUGGUAAGGUAACGGCUUACCAAGGCUACGAUGUUUAGGGGAUCUGGGAGGAUGACCCCCCACACUGGUACUGAGACACGGACCAGACUCAUACGGGAGGCAGCAGUAAGGAAUAUUGGUCAAUGGACGGAAGUCCUAACCAGCCAUGCCGCGUGCAGGAAGACGGCCCUAUGGGUUGUAAACUGCUUUUGCAGGGGAAUAAACCUCGAUACGUGUAUCGAGCUGAAUGUACUCUGAGAAUAAGGAUCGGCUAACUCCGUGCCAGCCGCCGCGGUAA